GACGAACGCUGGCGGCGUGCUUAACACAUGCAAGUCGAACGGACAGGCCCUGCUUUUGUUGGUUGCUCGAUUGGCGAACGGGUGAGUAACACGUGAGUAACCUGCCCCUGACUUUGUGAUAACUUCAGGAAACUGCGGCUAAUACCGGAUAUGAUCUCCUGCUGCAUGUUGGUGGAUGGUGAGUGUCGGCGGUUGUGGAUGGUCUCGAUGCUUAUGAGCUUGUUUGUCUGGUAGUGGCUUACCAAGCCUUCGACGGGUAGCCUGCCUGAGAGGGGUAACGGCGACAUUGGGACUGCGGUACGGAGCAGAAGCCUACGGGAGGCAGCAGUGGGAAAUAUUGCACAAUGGGGGGAAGCCUGAUGCAGAAACGCCGCGUGCGGAAUGAUGGGUUUCGGGUUGUGAACAAAUGUCGAAUGUGCCGAAGAGUGAGUGACGGUAAUGGGUAAAGAAGCACCGGCUAACUACGUG
Molecule: ribosomal RNA, 468 nt
Filed under: uncultured bacterium
Lineage: Bacteria
Description: partial 16S ribosomal RNA
Rfam family: Bacterial small subunit ribosomal RNA
Source: RNAcentral